CCUAACAAGAAGAUGUGCUAUAGGUGUAAUGGAGAAGGUCAUAUUUCUAAAGACUGCCCACAGAAAAACACACCUCCACAGCCAAGGGCAUUCAACAUGUUCCUCAACGAAGCAGAAAGAGAUGGGAGGGUUAAAGGAUGAAGACUUCAUAUUAAUAUAUAAAGUCGGUAAAGUCUGUAUCAGGAGGCAUAGCCUGUUAGAGGCAUAGUAUAGGGUGAACUUGAACUUUUGUGUAAUAGUUUCAAGAAUUAAUAUAAAUCCUAGUUUUGUUAUCUGAUGUGUUGAAUGAUUAUAUGAUUUAUGUAUGGUGACUUGGUUAACUGCGAGACAAUACUUGGGACGAGUAUGAGUAGGUGUGAAUGGUAGUAGAGAUCUAUACUACCGGAAGCACAGGACUCACGCUUGGAUCAGGGGAAGUCACAAGGUUAUCAAGAAGCUAGUAAUUGAUUCCGUUUUAUUCAAGUAUGUCAUUACCAUUGUUUCGGUAAUGUCUAGAAAGAUAGUUGUUAUUCCGACCCUAGGGGUCAUAUCAAUUGAGUCCGACUAUGAUGAGAGGUCAUCGGGACACGACCCAUCAGGGUUAUUACUUAGAAUGGAGAGAUAACUUAUGGAGUCAGUAUGCGAAUCCUAUUUCGUUGAUGAUUCCGGGACGUAAUCAUCCUAAGGGGGAGAUAAUUGUAACGCCCGUAGAUCAGGGCUAGUCAAUUUAGAGACAAUAAGAGUCAAAAAUGACUUUUUGAUAGAAGAUUAUUUAGGAUGAAUAAUCCUAACUAAGUUGUAGUAUAUGUUACAAGGUUUCCGUACAUAUAAAGAACGCCAAAAUCCGAGUUAUAACGAAGAAGUUAUGACCUGUCAAAGUUUCGCGACAGAACCGGCACGACACAGCGCGACGUAAAAAGUGAAUUUACGUUAGAGCGAUAUUUAGCCUUAGCAAUCUAAACGAGAAUCGAAGAUCUCGUUGUUGGUAUCGAAGCGAUAAAAAGUUAGGCGAGAACGGACGUCAAACGAAGAAGUUAUGAAUUUAUAACGAAAGUUUCUGUCGCGGCCUAUUAAAAAUAAUUAAUAAAAAUAAAGUCAAAAUUAGCCGACGGAGUCUAAACGAAAGUUGUAGAGCGUAGUCUCACCUUCGCGUGGAUAUAAAGAACGUCGAAAACGGAGUUCGUAUGAAGAAGAUAUGAAUUUCCGAAGUUUAUUAAUCAAUUUGUAUUUAAAUUUAAAAGGAAAUUCGGAAGCAUUAUCCGAAGGAGUCACCGGUCUGAUCCGAGGUACGCGCUGCGUACUCGAGUACGCCCCGCGUACUCCGAAGUGUCGACAUUCGCAGCAAGUGGCUUCGGAUGACGCACGCAGUGACGUUUUUCGGACCAGUACGCCCCGCGUACUGGCGUACGCCCCGCGUACUCCGAGGCUCCAGCCUCCUAUAAAUAGGAUGCGAGGGCAGCCGACCCAAUUGCCAAUUUCUUCUCUUCUCUCUCCCGUUUUGCAUCGUUUUGCGUGCCAGAAAUACCCCGAAGCCCCGGUAUUAUACCCUAGCCCCGAGGCAAGUCCCGAGAUCCCGAAGAUCCCGAAAAGUGCGGUUCCCGAGUCGAAGCUCUGCCCGCGAGAAGUUUGAUUUUCGAGGAGAUCUUCCAGAUCUGCUGAGGAAUACUACUUCUAUAAGCCGUAGUGCUGUCGGAUCGUCUUCUGAUCAAGUGAGUGUGUAGUUAUUUCUUCUAAUACAAUAAUACGAAGUAUUUUAUAUAAAAAUACGUGCUAUGUGUAUAUAUUUGGUUGUGUUAUGUGUGAAUGAGUAUUCACUCUCUUCUAUCUUACAGAUCUGCUUAUUUCUUUAUGAGAUAUGUGUUACGUGUGUGUGCCUCAUCUGUUAUGUGAUAUAUGUGUUGAUUAAAGCAUGCUAUACAGGUUUUCUUUAAACUAUGUAUACAAAUGUAUAUUUUUGUCUACUAAUAUUGUUGGGUAGAACAUGGGUAGAUGGGAUACUUGGUGACUAUGGAGUUAGCGCCUGCUGUUAGAUAAACCUUGGUGACUAUGGAGUUAGCGCCUGCUGUUAGAUAAACCUUGGUGACUAUGGAGUUAGCGCCUGUUGUUAGAUAAACCUUGGUGACUAUGGAGUUAGCGCCUUUUGUAUAAACCUUGGUGACUAUGGAGUUAGCGCCUAUUGCAUAAACCUUGGCGACGAUGUGACUUCGUGCCUAUUUGAUGAACCUUGGCGACUAUGGAGUUAGCGCUUGUUAAGUAAACCUUGGCGACUAUGGAGUUAGCGCUUGUUAAGUGUACCUUGGUGACUAUGGAGUUAGCGCCGCUUGAGUAAACCCCGACGACUAUGGAGUUAGCGUCUUAUAACUAUGGAUUUAGUACUCGAUAGAUAAACUUUGGCAGCAAUGGAUUUCGUGCCGAUUCCUUAGGAAUAAGUGAAUGAAGGAUAGUUGGUUCUUAGGGGGAAACCUUAAGAAGAUGAUGGGGAUGGGUAUUUGAGUUGAUUGUUUGAUAAUUGAAUAUAAUAAAUGUAUUAUUGUGGGUUGAAAACCCUAUAUGCUCACCAGGCUCCCAAGCCUGACCCACUCAGUUUUCUUUUCAUUACAGGUAAUGACACAAGAGUAUAAGUCGGCGGACUUGACGAGAGAUUUUGGAUUAUAGAUCAGUAGUUGAAUAACUAUUGUAAGGUCUAUUUUAUGUUGUUUAUGCUUUUGGUCUGUAACGAACAUGACAUCCCGAGGUUUUAUUAUUUAAUAAAAAUACAUUCUUUUCGAGAAAUGUUUUGAUAAAAUGGUUAUCAUAUUUUAUUUUGGGAACAAAUUCCGCAACCGUUUUCUUUAAACGAUCACUCUGAUUUUGAAAACAAAGCAUAAACAAAUCGGUCUUUUCUGGCCGUGAAAUUGGGGAUGUCACAGUUGGUAUCAGAGCAUUAGUUUAAGCGAACUAGGAAUUUGUAGGAUUUCUAGACUUAAACUUAGAAUGCUAAGCAAUGAUUGCGAGUUGAGUGUGUCCAUUAUAUUUUAGGUAGUACACCUAAAUUGACACAGGCACUAUUUUAUUUUAGGAAAGUUGCCUAAAAUGCUUUUGCGUGCUAAACGUUUUGUGUGAUAGCUAUAUUGAUGCUAUUAUUUGUUCGGAUCUAUGGUCUGUUGCCGACCGGAUCUGGAAACCUUAUGUGUAUAGGAUUCUAAGCGUACGUCUACGAUAUUAGAACUAGCAUAUAAACGUUUCGGAGUGAUAAGGAUGAUUUGAAUAUCUAUCGUGAUUAAGGAUCUAAUUUCACCAUAUUCGGUGUAUAGAUCAAAAAUGGUGAGAACGAGGAGUGGAGUUGGAAAUGCUGAUGAGAACAGGAAUCAAGUACCAGUAAUUGAACAAAUACCUGUUGUGGCAGCAGCGCCUGAACCAAUGACAAUGGCCGGAGUUCAAGUGAUGAUCCAGGCAAUGUUGAAUAAUCAGAUGGAAGAAACUAGACGUCUGAUCAGACAAAAUCGCGAGGAAUUGUCAAUUCGAGUAGAAGAGCCCGAAGUAAAUGGAGGGCAUUCUGAAGGAGGAAACUAUAGUGGGACCGUUGGUCAAGCCAACCCACCAAUAGUUCGCCAAAACAACCAGGAUAGAGGAAAUGAUGGACGUGGAUGCAAGUACAAGGAUUUCAUGGCAUCCAAACCACCAUGUCUUUCUGGGAGCCCGACACCGGUGCAAGUCAUGGACUGGAUCUCCGAAAUGGAGACAAUGUUUGAAAGUUGCGAGUGUAGCAACAGACAGAAGACCGCUCUUGCAAUCCCUCUGUUAAAAUCUGGAGUAUUGAGCUGGUGGAAGUUACUGGCUGGUUCAAUGCCCAAGGGGGAAGCUAGCAAGAUGUCUUGGGAAGAGUUCGUGGAGCAAAUGAAAAUGCAAUACUGCUCUGAGCAGGAUCUUCUGGAAAUCAACAAUGAGUUCCAGAAUCUGAAGAAAGGAAAAUUGAGCGUUACUGAAUACGCUACGAGCUUUACGGAGAAGAUGAAGCUUAUUCCAUACCUAAUUCCGACUGAACUUUCCAAGGUCAACAAGUUUGCCAAUGGAUUACCAGCGGACUUUGGUCCGAUAGUCAAACAAGCAACCACUCUGAAAGCCGCCAUCUGGGCAGCCAAAAAUGUUGAGACCCAAAUAAAAGAAAAGGGUCUGGAAAGGGCUGAAGUUGGAGAGAAAAGGAAGCGUGAAGGAUCUUCAAUAAUCGAUAAAGAAAGUAAAUUCUCGAAAACUGGAGGAAGAGAUGAGGCUAAGUGGUGUGAGAAGUGUAAGAAGAAACACUUCGGGAAAUGUAGCGAGGAGAUGACUUGCUACAAAUGUGGGAAGACAGGGCACUAUGCCAACAAGUGCGCACCUAACAAGAAGAUGUGCUAUAGGUGUAAUGAAGAAGGUCAUAUUUCUAAAGACUGCCCACAGAAAAACACACCUCCACAGCCAAGGGCAUUCAACAUGUUCCUCAACGAAGCAGAAAGGGAUGGGAGGGUUAAAGGAUGAAGACUUCAUAUUAAUAUAUAAAGUCGGUAAAGUCUGUAUCAGGAAGCAUAGCCUGUUAGAGGCAUAGUAUAGGGUGAACUUGAACUUUUGUGUAAUAGUUUCAAGAAUUAAUAUAAAUCCUAGUUUUGUUAUCUGAUGUGUUGAAUGAUUAUAUGAUUUAUGUAUGGUGACUUGGUUAACUGCGAGACAAUACUUGGGACGAGUAUGAGUAGGUGUGAAUGGUAGUAGAGAUCUAUACUACCGGAAGCACAGGACUCACGCUUGGAUCAGGGGAAGUCACAAGGUUAUCAAGAAGCUAGUAAUUGAUUCCGUUUUAUUCAAGUAUGUCAUUACCAUUGUUUCGGUAAUGUCUAGUAAGAUAGUUGUUAUUCCGACCCUAGGGGUCAUAUCAAUUGAGUCCGACUACGAUGAGAGGUCAUCGGGACACGACCCAUCAAGGUUAUUACUUAGAAUGGAGAGAUAACUUAUGGAGUCAGUAUACGAAUCCUAUUUCGUUGAUGAUUCCGGGACGUAAUCAUCCUAAGGGGGAGAUAAUUGUAACGCCCGUAGAUCAGGGCUAGUCAAUUUAGAGACAAUAAGCGUCAAAAAUGACUUUUUGAUAGAAGAUUAUUUAGGAUGAAUAAUCCUAACUAAGUUGUAGUAUAUGUUACAAGGUUUCCGUGCAUAUAAAGAACGCCAAAAUCCGAGUUAUAACAAAGAAGUUAUGACCUGUCGAAGUUUCGCGACAGAACCGGCACGACACAGCGCGACGUAAAAAGUGAAUUUACGUUAGAGCGAUAUUUAGCCUUAGCAAUCUAAACGAGAAUCGAAGAUCUCGUUGUUGGUAUCGAAGCGAUAAAAAGUUAGGCGAGAACGGACGUCAGACGAAGAAGUUAUGAAUUUAUAACGAAAUUUUCUGUCCCGACCUAUUAAAAAUAAAUAAUAAAAAUAAAAGUCAAAAUUAGCCGACGGAGUCUAAACGAAAGUCGUAGAGCGUAGUCUCACCUACGCGUGGAUAUAAAGAACGUCGAAAACGGAGUUCGUAUGAAGAAGAUAUGAAUUUUCGAAGUUUAUUAAUGAAUUAAUAAUUAAAUUUAAUUAUUAAAUCCCGGUAUUAUCCGAAGGCGAGUCAUCGGACUCAUCCGAAGUACGCCCCGCGUACAGCGAAGCAUGACGACCUUCGCACUCGAGUUCUUCGGAUGACGCAUGCAGUGACGAAUUCGGACGCGUACGCCCCGCGUACUCCGAGGCUCCAGCCUCCUAUAAAUAGGAUGCGAGGGCAGCCGGUUCUUUUGUUCAUUUUCCCUCUUCUCUCUCCCGUUUUGCAUCG
RNAcentral lists this long non-coding RNA (5782 nucleotides) under Lactuca sativa (garden lettuce). RNAcentral describes it as "long non-coding RNA (LSAT_LNC009828)". Lineage: Eukaryota; Viridiplantae; Streptophyta; Magnoliopsida; Asterales; Asteraceae. The record is from RNAcentral.